UAGUAAUAGGGUUGAGGGUGAAAAU
Molecule: non-coding RNA, 25 nt
Filed under: Rattus norvegicus (Norway rat)
Lineage: Eukaryota; Metazoa; Chordata; Mammalia; Rodentia; Muridae
Source: RNAcentral